AAGCUAGUGAAUAUUCUUGGUUCUUGUUACAUUAUUUUACUCCCUGUAGCUCAUCAAAUAACCCAGGAAUCCAUUUGACUGAUUUAUUUGAAGCAGAGGUUGUGGAGAAAGAGGGUGGGAACCAUCAGAAAAGACUGCCUUUGUAAUGCUCUCAUCGUUUGACAGGGGAAGCCUUACUUGAACACAGCCGCUGCUGACUUAGGAAAAGAGCUUUCUGGGAAUAGGUGUUUGUAACAACUUGCCCAAAAGCAGAAAAACUGUGAGACAAUUACAGCAGAACGUGUGAAGAUUAUAUGAGUUACUUCCACUAGAAUUUCCUGCCCAUUUCUCUGCUAAGGCUGGAUGUCGUGGGUAACCAGUGAUCUAGAGAUAGGAGACGCCAACCUUUUCAGCAUCAUGGUGGCGACACUGGGAGAGCUUCCACGUGAUCGGCUACAAAGAUGGCGGACAGCACUUCCGUCCAUCUUAUUCGGAGACUUCCAAAUGCUCAGACUGAGAAGAUGUUGGGGAUCUCAGAUAUGGCUGGAGUCUCUAGCCGACUUGUUUCUCAACCUUCCCAGUGCUGCAACCCUUACUACAGUUCCCUAACCAUAAAGUUAUUUUCAUUGCUACCUCAUAACUGUAAUUCUGUUACUGUUAUGAAUUGUAAUGUAAAUAUACAUGUUUUUCAAUGGCCUUAGGUGACUCUUGUGAAGAGUCAUCACUCCCCCGGCAGGGAGCCAUGGUCCACAGGCUGAGAACCUCUCUUCUAGCUCUUAACUGUGUAAGCUAGUUUUAAAUCCCCUCACAGUCAAGCAUUCUCUUGAUUCUGUUCCUCUAGGAAACCUGGACUAACACAAGGUCUUGUUGAAGCCUGAAGGGCUCUGCUACACACCAUGACUACUGCCAGGGUGGACCUUUAUCAGGCAUGUUACUGUGUGACUAUUCUUUAAUGAAACAUUUCAGUGCAGCAAACUAGACCUAAAGGUGAAACUGCUCCCCAGACUGAGGUGAAAUGGAGUAGAUGUCUGAAAGUGGGGGAAAAGUCCAGAGGCUAAUGUCCAGGACUUCCCAGUGCAACCAGCCUUCUCCAUCAGUGGUAUCAUAAAGGUCUGUCCCUCAGCAUUAGCGCUCAUGUCCACCAGAAGCAUAGAGCUGCUUCACAGAGGACCCUCGAUGCUACUGAAAACACCUUCCUUAGUUACAGAAAUGGCCACUAUCAAUUCUUUUUAAUAAUCUACACAGCUUAUUUGAUUUUGUUCCUAUUUAAAUGUCUAUUUCUGUUUAAGCUCGUAGUGUAGGUACACUAUUCUAUGCCUUCACACCAGGACACAUGUUUCCGCUCUGCCUCUAACAACUGAGGUCAGUUUGGUACUGUUGUUGAUGUCAUGGACCCAUGUGCCAACUCUCUUACAAAGUGCUGGCCCGUGACCAUAGGAACGAGAAACGCCACUCCAGGAACAAAAUGAGGCUCCUAUUCCUCAUUCUGACUUUCCCUCAAGCACUAAAAUCAUUAAGUUGCAUUCACUGUACCUGGUGCUCUGUUAAACCCUUCUGCACAGUCUCGUCCCUUUAAAACACCCAUCAAGCAUCAUGGUUAUCCAGAUUUUACAGGUAAGGAAAUUGAAUAGGAGAGUUAAAAAUGACUGUGUGACAUCACUUAGCUGAUUCUUGAUAAGACUGCGCCUUAAUAGAAAUCAAAGAAAGAGAACAACAGUGACUCCAAGAGAAAAAAUAAAAUAACAAUAACAGUUACACCUGAAGAUGAAGUCAUUUGUAAAUAUCUACAAAGUCCAGGAUAGCGGCUCUUUCUCUCCUCUUGUGCCUCCCCCUCUCAGUUAAAAAAAAAUUAGAAAUAUCCUUCUAAAUCUCCCAUCUUCUUCAAUGGCCAAUUAUAUGAAUCUCCUAUUAAAAAUAAUCAAAUCCAAUAUAUGCAUGUAUUAGGAUAGAUAGGUGGAAAAGGUCCUAAUGACAUUGUAAUCAAAACCUUGGAGUUAUAAGUUGUUAAGCCAGCCAUGGAUAAAAACCCCAAAUACAAAAUUAAUGCAU
This is a long non-coding RNA of Mus musculus (house mouse), 2028 nucleotides long. RefSeq annotates it as predicted gene, 34568. NCBI's taxonomy places the organism in Eukaryota, Metazoa, Chordata, Mammalia, Rodentia, Muridae. The transcript has 3 exons. The record is from RefSeq and is marked validated.